Non-coding RNA from Pelobates cultripes (western spadefoot toad), 296 nucleotides. The record is from the annotation of a GenBank genome assembly. Lineage: Eukaryota; Metazoa; Chordata; Amphibia; Anura; Pelobatidae.
CUCCACACCGGCGCUGUGUUCAGUGGCCUGCCUACGUGAAUACGAGGAUCGCACCAAACUACACCGUUCUGCAUCCUCUCCCCAUCUAUUUUCAUCUAUCCGUCCUCCAUUUAAACCCAUCACUAGCACCACCUUGUCUCGCUGGGUUAAAUGGCUACUCUGUCAAGACGGUAUUGGUACUGCGCUUUUUGGCACCCACUCGAUCAGGGGAGCCUCAGCAUCUUCAAUGAUGGCUUCAGGUGCACGCCUGGAGGAUCUCAUGAAGAUGGCUGACUGGUCGAGGGAAUCGGUUUUCC